Molecule: long non-coding RNA, 793 nt
Filed under: Equus caballus (horse)
Lineage: Eukaryota; Metazoa; Chordata; Mammalia; Perissodactyla; Equidae
Description: lncRNA (ENSECAG00000052764.1)
Source: RNAcentral
GCUCUGUGCUCCAAAUAUUCCUGAAUGCUCCCUCCUGCUUCUGUUGGGGCUUUGCUAGCGGGAAAAGCUUGCAGACACCAGCCUCUAUCAUAAGAGAACGCUCUCUCUCCACAUUCACCUAUGCAGCAGGCAACAAGUUUCUCUUGAUGAAACCAGACAUUCCAGCUCUCUUUUCCUGCCUCCAAGACUCCAAGCUCACCUUGAGAGUUUCCUCGGAAUUGACUGCUACACCCACUUCAAUAGGAAGAUUAGCCCUGAGCUAACAUCUGCUAUCAAUCCUCCUCUUUUUGCUGAGGAAGCCUGGCCCUGAGCUAACAUCCAUGCCCAUCUUCCCCUACUUUAUAUGCGGGAUGCCUACCACAGCAUGGCAUGCCAAGCGGUGCCAUGUCCGCACCCGGGAUUGGAACCGGAAUCGGCGAACCCCGGGCUGCCGAGAAGCUGAUUGACCUUUUUGUUGAGGGCCUUCCAAGAACACCAUGAUGAAGUGGAAGGAGAUCGUUCACAGGGAUGAACACUUACCAAAGACUGAGCCCAGGGUACUUGCUGAUGGAUUCCCAGACUCAAAAGCCUCUGAGAUUGAAGAACUAAAACACUUUGUCCUGGCCACUGACCACAAACCAGAGCUAAAGGACACACAAAGCCUCAGAGGACUCAGAACCAGGAACUUCUAAAGUGUCCACUCAGCUUAGCAGAGUCUCUGUGGCACAGAAUGGGUGAUAGUAUAGAAGCAUGGUGGCUUGUUGUUCUAAAUAAUGUUAGGAAAACUGGGGCACUCAUAAAUAUAGAAACAGAG